Long non-coding RNA from Helianthus annuus (common sunflower), 413 nucleotides. RefSeq lists it as uncharacterized. The transcript has 2 exons. Lineage: Eukaryota; Viridiplantae; Streptophyta; Magnoliopsida; Asterales; Asteraceae. The record is from RefSeq and is a predicted model, not a curated record.
UCCGGCGGUCUUCUUUGGCGGCGACGUCACCAUCGCAACCCAUUGCGUCUGGCUUCGGGGGAGGUGGUGGUGAUUGUUCCGGGAGAAGAUGUGACGGCCGGUUAGAGAUAUCUAUAUCUCAUCUAGAGAGAGAGAGAAUGAAAUCAGAGUGAAAUGAAAGAGUAAAGUCUACCGGUGAGUGGUGGUGGACUAGCGGUGGUACUGGUGGAGAUCAACGAUGGACCAACGGUGGGAUUGGCAGUGAGUAGUUGAGAUGAAUAAGGUUUUAUGACUACAAGUGUACAAGUGUGUUUUCAGUGGGAAGGUGAAUACAUGUGUAGCUCAAAUGUAAUAAGCAUUGGGGUAUGUAACAUGUGUGGGUUACAGCUCAACAAAAAUGAGAAUAAAUAAAAAAUUUAUAUACUAAAUAAAAA